RNAcentral lists this ribosomal RNA (859 nucleotides) under uncultured eukaryote. RNAcentral's name for it is "bacterial SSU rRNA". It matches the Rfam family "Eukaryotic small subunit ribosomal RNA", at positions 599 to 1447 of the family's 1831-position model. The record is from RNAcentral.
AGAAAUUAAUUGGUUUGCGGUUAAAAGCUCGCAGUCGGAGAUCUGCCAGGGGACGAUGUCCCCCCCCCGGGGUGUCAUCAUUAGCUUGCUUGCCUCCUUCUGGGGACCGGUUUCCACUUGAUUGUGGAGUCCCUGACUUCAAAACCUUUACUUUGAGGAAAUGAGAGUGGUUCACGCGGGUGCCAGCCGUGGAUAUGUUAUUGUGGAAUAACAGUAUCGAACCGACGCGUAGCUCUUGGUGUGCAGCGACGGUAAAGGUAUAAAGGGACCGAUGGGGGUAUUCAUAUUCAUUUGUCUGACAUGAAAUUCUUGGAUUUUUUGUCGACUGACUAUUGCCAUAGCAUUUGCCACAUAUGUUCUCAUUGAUUCGAACGAACAAAGGUGAUCUAAGACAUUAAGAUACCGUCCUAGAUUCUCCAUUCAUAACCAUAAACCAUGCCAACUGGAGAUGGGGUCUGAUCAUUGUGUGACACUUUCUGCAUCUUGAGAGAUAUUUAGUCUUUGGGGUUCCGGGGGGAGUAUGGUCGCCAAGGCUGAAACUUAAUUGGAAUUGACGGACCGGCACCACCAGGAGUGGAGCCUUUUUCUUAAUUUAGACUCAACACGGCUAAAACUGACCAGGGCCCAGAAAUGGGUAGGAUGGACAGAACUGCUUAGCUCGAUCUAGAUGCUGAGGGGAGGUGGGUGCCAUGGUUCGGUUCGUAGGAAGUUGGUAGUGAUUUGUCUGGCUUAAUUCCGUAAAACGAACGAGACCUAUAUAUAACUUCAUAGGUAUGCGUUCACGACACUGACUGAUCUAUCACCAUCGUAUGAUGGAACGAACGCAUCAUCUGAACGCGAAGUAGGCGUAGCAGGUAAU